This 399-nucleotide ribosomal RNA is filed under the name uncultured bacterium. RNAcentral describes it as "bacterial SSU rRNA". It matches the Rfam family "Bacterial small subunit ribosomal RNA", at positions 356 to 772 of the family's 1533-position model. The record is from RNAcentral.
GGGGAAUCUUGGACAAUGGGCGCAAGCCUGAUCCAGCCAUGCCGCGUGAGUGAAGAAGGUCUUCGGAUUGUAAAGCUCUUUUGCCAGGGACGAUAAUGACGGUACCUGGAGAAUAAGCCCCGGCAAACUUCGUGCCAGCAGCCGCGGUAAUACGAAGGGGGCUAGCGUUGUUCGGAUUUACUGGGCGUAAAGCGAACGUAGGCGGAUUGUUAAGUCGGGGGUGAAAUCCUGGAGCUCAACUCCAGAAUUGCCUUCGAUACUGGCUUUCUCGAGGCCGGAAGAGGUGAGUGGAAUUCCCAGUGUAGAGGUGAAAUUCGUAGAUAUUGGGAAGAACACCAGUGGCGAAGGCGGCUCACUGGUCCGGAUCUGACGCUGAGGUGCGAAAGCGUGGGGAGCAAA